UCGAGUUUUGAAGUGGGCUGCUUGAGCUGGCACGCAGGUGCUCAGCGGCUCCGCUCUCAUCCACUCAACCCCUGUGCACCUUGAACGAGAGUUGGUCCCGAUGCUGCAUAGCAGAAGGGUCAUUCUUGUUUCUUACAAACUCUUUAUAUUGUCUUGUAAUGCAUUGCCUCUUUGUGGGCGAAAUGUUAAUA
This 191-nucleotide unclassified non-coding RNA is filed under the name uncultured fungus. RNAcentral describes it as "sequence contains ITS1, 5.8S rRNA gene". Lineage: Eukaryota; Fungi. The record is from RNAcentral.